GAUGAACGCUAGCUACAGGCUUAACACAUGCAAGUCGAGGGGAAACGGCAUUUAGUGCUUGCACUGAAUGGACGUCGACCGGCGCACGGGUGAGUAACGCGUAUCCAACCUACCCAUUACUGUGGGAUAACCUGCCGAAAGGCAGACUAAUACCGCAUAGUCUUCGAUGACGGCAUCAGAUUUGAAGUAAAGAUUUAUCGGUAAUGGAUGGGGAUGCGUCUGAUUAGCUUGUUGGCGGGGUAACGGCCCACCAAGGCGACGAUCAGUAGGGGUUCUGAGAGGAAGGUCCCCCACAUUGGAACUGAGACACGGUCCAAACUCCUACGGGAGGCAGCAGUGAGGAAUAUUGGUCAAUGGGCGCGAGCCUGAACCAGCCAAGUAGCGUGCAGGAUGACGGCCCUAUGGGUUGUAAACUGCUUUUGUAUGGGGAUAAAGUCAAUCACGUGUGAUUGUUUGCAGGUACCAUACGAAUAAGGACCGGCUAAUUCCGUGCCAGCAGCCGCGGCAAUACGGAAGGUCCGGGCGUUAUCCGGAUUUAUUGGGUUUAAAGGGAGCGUAGGCCGGAGAUUAAGUGUGUUGUGAAAUGUAGACGCUCAACGUCUGACUUGCAGCGCAUACUGGUUUCCUUGAGUACGCACAACGUUGGCGGAAUUCGUCGUGUAGCGGUGAAAUGCUUAGAUAUGACGAAGAACUCCGAUUGCGAAGGCAGCUGACGGGAGCGCAACUGACGCUUAAGCUCGAAGGUGCGGGUAUCGAACAGG
This 761-nucleotide ribosomal RNA is filed under the name Prevotella melaninogenica. RNAcentral describes it as "bacterial SSU rRNA". It matches the Rfam family "Bacterial small subunit ribosomal RNA", at positions 28 to 776 of the family's 1533-position model. Lineage: Bacteria; Pseudomonadati; Bacteroidota; Bacteroidia; Bacteroidales; Prevotellaceae. The record is from RNAcentral.